RNAcentral lists this ribosomal RNA (869 nucleotides) under Hypocreales sp. FY-2022c. RNAcentral describes it as "partial large subunit ribosomal RNA". It matches the Rfam family "Eukaryotic large subunit ribosomal RNA", at positions 39 to 939 of the family's 3401-position model. The record is from RNAcentral. Lineage: Eukaryota; Fungi; Ascomycota; Sordariomycetes; Hypocreales.
CAUAUCAAUAAGCGGAGGAAAAGAAACCAACAGGGAUUGCCUCAGUAACGGCGAGUGAAGCGGCAACAGCUCAAAUUUGAAAUCUGGCCCCCAGGGUCCGAGUUGUAAUUUGUAGAGGAUGCUUUUGGUGAGGUGCCUUCCGAGUUCCCUGGAACGGGACGCCAUAGAGGGUGAGAGCCCCGUCUGGUUGGACACCGAGCCUCUGUAAAGCUCCUUCGACGAGUCGAGUAGUUUGGGAAUGCUGCUCUAAAUGGGAGGUAUAUGUCUUCUAAAGCUAAAUAUUGGCCAGAGACCGAUAGCGCACAAGUAGAGUGAUCGAAAGAUGAAAAGCACUUUGAAAAGAGGGUUAAAAAGUACGUGAAAUUGUUGAAAGGGAAGCGCUCAUGACCAGACUUGGGCUUGGCGAAUCAUCCAGCGUUCUCGCUGGUGCACUUCGCCUCGUUCAGGCCAGCAUCAGUUCGUCCCGGGGGAUAAAAGCUUCGGGAACGUGGCUGCUUCGGCAGUGUUAUAGCCCGCUGUAUAAUACCCUGGGGUGGACUGAGGUUCGCGCUCCGCAAGGAUGCUGGCGUAAUGGUCAUCAGCGACCCGUCUUGAAACACGGACCAAGGAGUCGUCUUCGUAUGCGAGUGUUCGGGUGUCAAACCCCUACGCGUAAUGAAAGUGAACGCAGGUGAGAGCUUCGGCGCAUCAUCGACCGAUCCUGAUGUUCUCGGAUGGAUUUGAGUAAGAGCAUACGGGGCCGGACCCGAAAGAAGGUGAACUAUGCCUGUAUAGGGUGAAGCCAGAGGAAACUCUGGUGGAGGCUCGCAGCGGUUCUGACGUGCAAAUCGAUCGUCAAAUAUGGGCAUGGGGGCGAAAGACUAAUCGAA